This 303-nucleotide ribosomal RNA is filed under the name uncultured bacterium. Its description in RNAcentral is "bacterial SSU rRNA". It matches the Rfam family "Bacterial small subunit ribosomal RNA", at positions 355 to 675 of the family's 1533-position model. The record is from RNAcentral.
UGGGGAAUAUUGCACAAUGGGGGAAACCCUGAUGCAGCGACGCCGCGUGAGUGAAGAAGUAUUUCGGUAUGUAAAGCUCUAUCAGCAGGGAAGAUAAUGACGGUACCUGACUAAGAAGCUCCGGCUAAAUACGUGCCAGCAGCCGCGGUAAUACGUAUGGAGCAAGCGUUAUCCGGAUUUACUGGGUGUAAAGGGAGCGCAGACGGCAAGGCAAGUCUGAUGUGAAAGUCCGAGGCUCAACCUCGGGACUGCAUUGGAAACUGUCUGGCUAGAGUGCAGGAGAGGUAAGUGGAAUUCCUAGUG